GACGAACGCUGGCGGCGUGCUUAACACAUGCAAGUCGAACGAUGACCAGGAGCUUGCUCCUGUGAUUAGUGGCGAACGGGUGAGUAACACGUGAGUAACCUGCCCCUGACUCUGGGAUAAGCGUUGGAAACGACGUCUAAUACUGGAUAUGAUCACUGGCCGCAUGGUCUGGUGGUGGAAAGAUUUUUUGGUUGGGGAUGGACUCGCGGCCUAUCAGCUUGUUGGUGAGGUAAUGGCUCACCAAGGCGACGACGGGUAGCCGGCCUGAGAGGGUGACCGGCCACACUGGGACUGAGACACGGCCCAGACUCCUACGGGAGGCAGCAGUGGGGAAUAUUGCACAAUGGGCGCAAGCCUGAUGCAGCAACGCCGCGUGAGGGAUGACGGCCUUCGGGUUGUAAACCUCUUUUAGUAGGGAAGAAGCGAAAGUGACGGUACCUGCAGAAAAAGCACCGGCUAACUACGUGCCAGCCGCCGCCGUAA
RNAcentral lists this ribosomal RNA (483 nucleotides) under uncultured bacterium. RNAcentral describes it as "partial 16S ribosomal RNA". It matches the Rfam family "Bacterial small subunit ribosomal RNA", at positions 28 to 523 of the family's 1533-position model. The record is from RNAcentral.